RNAcentral lists this ribosomal RNA (345 nucleotides) under uncultured bacterium. RNAcentral describes it as "bacterial SSU rRNA". It matches the Rfam family "Bacterial small subunit ribosomal RNA", at positions 29 to 402 of the family's 1533-position model. The record is from RNAcentral.
AGCGAACGCUGGCGGCAGGCCUAAUACAUGCAAGUCGAACGGAUCCUUCGGGAUCAGUGGCGGACGGGUGAGUAACGCGUGGGAACGUGCCCUUUGGUACGGAACAACUGAGGGAAACUUCAGCUAAUACCGUAUGUGCCCUUCGGGGAAAGAUUUAUCGCCAUUGGAGCGGCCCGCGUUGGAUUAGGUAGUUGGUGAGGUAAAGGCUCACCAAGCCUACGAUCCAUAGCUGGUCUGAGAGGAUGACCAGCCACACUGGGACUGAGACACGGCCCAGACUCCUACGGGAGGCAGCAGUAGGGAAUCUUGCGCGAUGGGCGAAUGCCUGACGCAGCCAUGCCGCGU